CUCCUAGCUUGGUGGGCACCUAACUCUUCAAGUCCUGCUCUGGCAAUUCCUUCCCGUUCCUCCUCCCGCUCCAGUUUCUGUCACAGAGCCAGCCUGAAAACAGGAGGGGGCUGAUUUUUGCCAGCUGCAGAAAAUUUACAUUUGAAAUUCUUGGAACUCUUGAGAGGGCCUGGGGCGACUGUUAUUCCCCCUGGCGCUGCCCCUGCAGCUGCUGAUCCCUGCUGCUGCUGUUGCUGUUGUUGCUGCUGCUGCUGCUGCUUCUGCUGCUCCCCACUGCUGCUGGCUCCCUCUGUUGUGUUUGCUGCUUUUGCUAUUGCUGGACUGCUGGGUUGCUGUUUGCUGGUUUGCUGCUUGGAGAUAUCCUGACGAAGAUUGGACUUCCUCCUAGAAACUCGAUGGCCCUAAGUAAUGGGUGAAUCAUGGAUAGGUUCACAACGCUGUGCCUCAGACAUGGAGAACGGGCGACUUGGAAGAGCUAAUCAAGGAGAGCAUGCAGGGAAGGAAUGUUUGCUGGUAUGUUUCGGAGUUUGAAAAACUAUACAUUCAAGUCUGAAAGAGAUGUUGGAGUAGGCACAAAAAUCAAUACAAAAUACUAAGC
RNAcentral lists this long non-coding RNA (598 nucleotides) under Mus spretus (western wild mouse). RNAcentral's name for it is "RIKEN cDNA 1700030O20 gene (ENSMSPG00010016618.1)". Lineage: Eukaryota; Metazoa; Chordata; Mammalia; Rodentia; Muridae. The record is from RNAcentral.